RNAcentral lists this ribosomal RNA (414 nucleotides) under uncultured microorganism. RNAcentral's name for it is "bacterial SSU rRNA". It matches the Rfam family "Archaeal small subunit ribosomal RNA", at positions 459 to 872 of the family's 1478-position model. The record is from RNAcentral.
CAGCCGCCGCGGUAAUACCGGCGGCCCGAGUGGCGGCCACUAUUAUUGGGCUUAAAGCGUCCGUAGCCGGGUUGGUUAGUCUCCCGGGAAAUCUGGCCGCUUAACGGUCAGAAUUCCGGGAGAUACUCCCAGCCUAGGGAGCGGGAGAGGCCGAGGGGAUUCCCGGAGUAGGGGUGAAAUCCUAUAAUCCCGGGAGGACCACCUGUGGCGAAGGCGCUCGGCUGGAACGCGUCCGACGGUGAGGGACGAAGGCCAGGGGAGCAAACCGGAUUAGAUACCCGGGUAGUCCUGGCUGUAAACGAUGCGGACUUUGUGUCGGACAAGCUAUGAGCUUGUCCGGUGCCGGAGGGAAACCGUUAAGUCCGCCGCCUGGGGAGUACGGCCGCAAGGCUGAAACUUAAAGGAAUUGGCGGG